Molecule: transfer RNA, 73 nt
Filed under: Bos taurus (domestic cattle)
Lineage: Eukaryota; Metazoa; Chordata; Mammalia; Artiodactyla; Bovidae
Also listed under: 2 other names
Rfam family: tRNA
About the family: Transfer RNA (tRNA) molecules are approximately 80 nucleotides in length.
Source: Rfam by way of RNAcentral
UCCUUGGUGGUCUAGUGGUUAGGACUCAGUGCUUCCACUGCCAGAGGCCCAGGUUCAAUCCCUGGACAGGGAA